UGCCUACGGGGGGCAGCAGUGAGGAAUAUUGGCCAAUGGGCGAGAGCCUGAACCAGCCAAGUCGCGUGAAGGAUGACGGCCCUACGGGUUGUAAACCUCUUUUGUCAGGGAGCAAAGGGCGCCACGUGUGGCGUUUUGCGAGUACCUGAAGAAAAAGCAUCGGCUAACUCCGUGCCAGCAGCCGCGGUAAUACGGAGGAUGCGAGCGUUAUCCGGAUUUAUUGGGUUUAAAGGGUGCGCAGGCGGAAUGUCAAGUCAGCGGUAAAAUUUCGGGGCUCAACCCCGUCGUGCCGUUGAAACUGGCGU
RNAcentral lists this ribosomal RNA (305 nucleotides) under uncultured bacterium. Its description in RNAcentral is "bacterial SSU rRNA". It matches the Rfam family "Bacterial small subunit ribosomal RNA", at positions 335 to 639 of the family's 1533-position model. The record is from RNAcentral.